ACAAAUUUUCUACCGUUUUAGCAUCAAAACAAGACUAUCAUAAAAGAUGACACUUGCCUCACCACACUGCUUAAAGUCUUUCCGGACAAGCACAUAUUACAUCUCACGCAUCACACAAAAACCACAACGCUCCACGUCAUACCUCCACAUCUAAUGGCCACUCUUUAAUCCUUAAGGACAAACAAACAUUACACAUGGCGCAUCAUGCAAAAACCACACCGCUCCACGUCAUCUCUCCACAUCUAAUGACCACCCUCUACACCACUCUCAACCGUCCCCAGAAGACCAGAACACAACACAGCUCCAUGUCACCGAUCCAUAAAAAACCAAAAAAGGCAAAGAAAACAUCCAAAACCAAACCGAACAAAAAGCCAUGAAAUACAUACAAGAGAACAAAAAACCGCCGAGAAGAGAAACGAAAGAUAAGAAAAAACCGAAAAGAAAAGGAGGAAAAAGAGGAGGAAGAAAGAAAGAAAGAAAGAAACGAAGCGAGGGG
This 496-nucleotide long non-coding RNA is filed under the name Oryza brachyantha (malo sina). Its description in RNAcentral is "long non-coding RNA (OBRA_LNC002531)". Lineage: Eukaryota; Viridiplantae; Streptophyta; Magnoliopsida; Poales; Poaceae. The record is from RNAcentral.